RNAcentral lists this ribosomal RNA (467 nucleotides) under uncultured bacterium. RNAcentral's name for it is "partial 16S ribosomal RNA". It matches the Rfam family "Bacterial small subunit ribosomal RNA", at positions 28 to 507 of the family's 1533-position model. The record is from RNAcentral.
GACGAACGCUGGCGGCGUGCUUAACACAUGCAAGUCGAACGGAAAGGCCUCUUUCGGGGGGUACUCGAGUGGCGAACGGGUGAGUAACACGUGAGUAACCUGCCCUUGACUUUGGGAUAACUUCAGGAAACUGGGGCUAAUACCGGAUAGGAGCUCCUGCUGCAUGGUGGGGGUUGGAAAGUUUCGGCGGUUGGGGAUGGACUCGCGGCUUAUCAGCUUGUUGGUGGGGUAGUGGCUUACCAAGGCUUUGACGGGUAGCCGGCCUGAGAGGGUGACCGGCCAAAUUGGGACGGGGAUACGGCCCAGACUCCUACGGGAGGCAGCAGUGGGGAAUAUUGCACAAUGGGUGGAAGCCUGAUGCAGCAACGCCGGGUGCGGGAUGACGGCCUUCGGGUUGGAAACCGCUUUCGCUCAUGACGAAGCUUUGUGUGACGGUAGUGGGUAAAGAAGCACCGGCUAACUACGUG